RNAcentral lists this ribosomal RNA (497 nucleotides) under uncultured bacterium. RNAcentral's name for it is "partial 16S ribosomal RNA". It matches the Rfam family "Bacterial small subunit ribosomal RNA", at positions 28 to 507 of the family's 1533-position model. The record is from RNAcentral.
GAUGAACGCUGGCGGCGUGCCUAAUACAUGCAAGUCGAGCGAACGGACGAGAAGCUUGCUUCUCUGAUGUUAGCGGCGGACGGGUGAGUAACACGUGGAUAACCUACCUAUAAGACUGGGAUAACUUCGGGAAACCGGAGCUAAUACCGGAUAAUAUUUUGAACCGCAUGGUUCAAAAGUGAAAGACGGUCUUGCUGUCACUUAUAGAUGGAUCCGCGCUGCAUUAGCUAGUUGGUAAGGUAACGGCUUACCAAGGCAACGAUGCAUAGCCGACCUGAGAGGGUGGUCGGCCGCACUGGAAGUGAGACACGGUCCAGACUCCUACGGGAAGCAGCAGUAGGGAAUCUUCCGCAAUGGGCGAAAGCCUGACGGAGCAACGCCGCGUGAGUGAUGAAGGUCUUCGGAUCGUAAAACUCUGUUAUUAGGGAAGAACAUAUGUGUAAGUAACUGUGCACAUCUUGACGGUACCUAAUCAGAAAGCCACGGCUAACUACGUG